Long non-coding RNA from Medicago truncatula (barrel medic), 566 nucleotides. RefSeq lists it as uncharacterized. The transcript has 2 exons. The record is from RefSeq and is a predicted model, not a curated record. Lineage: Eukaryota; Viridiplantae; Streptophyta; Magnoliopsida; Fabales; Fabaceae.
AUUAAAUUUUUUUAGUACAUGUCUUUUAAACACAAAAGUGAUGAAAUUUUAUUUUAUUUGCGACAUAAAAAGAGAGAUAUGGUUAAAACUCUUAAGUUUGUGUAUGAUAUGAUUUUAUUUAUUUUCCUAUAUCUGGUUGCAAAAAAUGUUGCCGAAAGUAUUGAAUGCAGAACCGUUGCUGAUUGUCCAAAACUUAUAUCAAGCAAGUUUGUGAUUAAGUGCAUUGAAAAACGAUGUGUAGCUCAGUUCUUUGACUAGUAAAAUAUUUAUGCAAUAUCCCUCAUGCUAGAAUAUUCCGUUGUUGCCAUUUAGUUAUUUUGUUCUCUCCAAAUCAUUAUGUUUUUCAUUUCUUUUUAUUUACUUGAUUUCAAGGACCUUGCAAUUAUGGUUUUUUACCUGAAAACAUUGGUAAUGAAGUAAAAUAUGACACUAAAGAAUAUUAAUAAAGAUGGAACUUCAUUCAUCCAAGUUAUAGAGCCUUUUGGGGAAGCAUUUUUGUGUUGGAUGAGUUCUUGUAUUUGUGCAUUAACUUAUUGAAUAUAUUGGAGUUUGUUGUUUAAGGUUUA